CCUACGGGAGGCAGCAGUAAGGAAUAUUGGACAAUGGGGGCAACCCUGAUCCAGCCAUGCCGCGUGAAGGAUGAAGGCCCUCUGGGUUGUAAACUUCUUUUAUGCGGGAAUAAACCCCUCUACGUGUAGAGGGUUGAAUGUACCGUAAGAAUAAGGAUCGGCUAACUUCGUGCCAGCAGCCGCGGUAAUACGAAGGAUCCAAGCGUUAUCCGGAUUUAUUGGGUUUAAAGGGUGCGUAGGCGGGCUAUUAAGUCAGUGGUGAAAGCCCCAAGCUUAACUUGGGAAUUGCCAUUGAUACUGAUGGUCUUGAGUACACUUGAAGUGGGCGGAAUGUGUCAUGUAGCGGUGAAAUGCUUAGAUAUGACACAGAACACCGAUUGCGAAGGCAGCUCACUAAAUUGUAACUGACGCUGAGGCACGAAAGCGUGGGGAUCAAACAGGAUUAGAUACCCUGGUAGUCCACGACCUAACGAUAGAUACUACGAUGUGUGCAUACACCGUACCGUCGUCUGAGCGAAGACAUUAAGUAAUACCACCGUCGGGUAGGUACGACCGCGAGGUUAGAACGUACGAAGAGUAGUAGACGCGUAGAGACGACGACGACGACGACGACGGAGGGAGGAGG
Molecule: ribosomal RNA, 625 nt
Filed under: uncultured bacterium
Lineage: Bacteria
Description: bacterial SSU rRNA
Rfam family: Bacterial small subunit ribosomal RNA (bases 1-537)
Source: RNAcentral